Molecule: transfer RNA, 84 nt
Filed under: Rhodoferax saidenbachensis
Lineage: Bacteria; Pseudomonadati; Pseudomonadota; Betaproteobacteria; Burkholderiales; Comamonadaceae
Description: tRNA-Tyr
Rfam family: tRNA
About the family: Transfer RNA (tRNA) molecules are approximately 80 nucleotides in length. Their secondary structure includes four short double-helical elements and three loops (D, anti-codon, and T loops).
Source: RNAcentral
GGACGUUUGACCGAGAGGCCGAAGGUGGCGGACUGUAAAUCCGCUCGUAACUGCACGCUGGUUCGAAUCCAGCAGCGUCCACCA